RNAcentral lists this ribosomal RNA (253 nucleotides) under uncultured bacterium. RNAcentral describes it as "partial 16S ribosomal RNA". It matches the Rfam family "Bacterial small subunit ribosomal RNA", at positions 524 to 776 of the family's 1533-position model. The record is from RNAcentral.
UACAGAGGGUGCAAACGUUGUUCGGAAUUACUGGGCGUAAAGCGCGUGUAGGCGGCUUGGUAAGUCGGAUGUGAAAGCCCACGGCUCACCCGUGGAAGUGCAUACGAAACUGCCUGGCUAGAGUCCUGGAGAGGAAGGUGGAAUGCUUGGUGUAGAGGUGAAAGGCGUAGAUAGCAAGCGGAACACCGGUGGCGAAGGCGGCCUUCUGGACAGUGACUGACGCUGAGACGCGAAAGCGUGGGGAGCAAACAGG